Molecule: non-coding RNA, 45 nt
Filed under: Echinostoma caproni
Lineage: Eukaryota; Metazoa; Platyhelminthes; Trematoda; Plagiorchiida; Echinostomatidae
Source: RNAcentral
GUACUACUGAUGAGACCAAACCAGGUGGAAACAACUGUCCAGUGC